CCGCCGCGCGCGGCGGGCCUACGGGAGGCAGCAGUGGGGAAUAUUGCACAAUGGGCGCAAGCCUGAUGCAGCCAUGCCGCGUGUAUGAAGAAGGCCUUCGGGUUGUAAAGUACUUUCAGCGGGGAGGAAGGCGUUGUGGUUAAUAACCACAGCGAUUGACGUUACCCGCAGAAGAAGCACCGGCUAACUCCGUGCCAGCAGCCGCGGUAAUA
This 212-nucleotide ribosomal RNA is filed under the name uncultured Cronobacter sp. Its description in RNAcentral is "partial 16S ribosomal RNA". It matches the Rfam family "Bacterial small subunit ribosomal RNA", at positions 312 to 525 of the family's 1533-position model. The record is from RNAcentral. Lineage: Bacteria; Pseudomonadati; Pseudomonadota; Gammaproteobacteria; Enterobacterales; Enterobacteriaceae.